GAUGAACGCUGGCGGCGUGCUUAACACAUGCAAGUCGAACGGAACUACUCCAAUGAGAGUCUUCGGAAAGGAUUUGGUUUAGUUUAGUGGCGGACGGGUGAGUAACGCGUGGGUAACCUGCCCUAUACAGGGGGAUAACAGUUGGAAACGACUGUUAAUACCGCAUAAGCGCACAGGAGCGCAUGCUCCGGUGUGAAAAACUCCGGUGGUAUAGGAUGGACCCGCGUCUGAUUAGCUGGUUGGCGGGGUAACGGCCCACCAAGGCGACGAUCAGUAGCCGGGCUGAGAGGGUGAACGGCCACAUUGGGACUGAGACACGGCCCAAACUCCUACGGGAGGCAGCAGUGGGGAAUAUUGCACAAUGGGGGAAACCCUGAUGCAGCGACGCCGCGUGAGCGAAGAAGUAUCUCGGUAUGUAAAGCGCUAUCAGCAGGGAAGAAAAUGACGGUACCUGACUAAGAAGCCCCGGCUAACUACGUG
RNAcentral lists this ribosomal RNA (480 nucleotides) under uncultured bacterium. RNAcentral's name for it is "partial 16S ribosomal RNA". It matches the Rfam family "Bacterial small subunit ribosomal RNA", at positions 28 to 507 of the family's 1533-position model. The record is from RNAcentral.